UCAGACACGUCAGAGUUUGAUCCUGGCUCAGGAUGAACGCUAGCUAUAGGCUUAACACAUGCAAGUCGAGGGGAAACGGCAUGAGAUGCUUGCAUCUUAUGGACGUCGACCGGCGUACGGGUGAGUAACGCGUAUCCAACCUUCCGGUAACUCCGGUAUAGCCUUUCGAAAGAAAGAUUAAUCCCGGAUAGUAUGGUGAUUCCGCAUGGUUUCUCCAUUAAAGGAUUCCGGUUACCGAUGGGGAUGCGUUCCAUUAGGCAGUUGGCGGGGUAACGGCCCACCAAACCAUCGAUGGAUAGGGGUUCUGAGAGGAAGGUCCCCCACAUUGGAACUGAGACACGGUCCAA
RNAcentral lists this ribosomal RNA (347 nucleotides) under uncultured bacterium. Its description in RNAcentral is "bacterial SSU rRNA". It matches the Rfam family "Bacterial small subunit ribosomal RNA", at positions 1 to 334 of the family's 1533-position model. The record is from RNAcentral.